Molecule: non-coding RNA, 30 nt
Filed under: Mus musculus (house mouse)
Lineage: Eukaryota; Metazoa; Chordata; Mammalia; Rodentia; Muridae
Source: RNAcentral
UACAGUUUUGUGUGUUCCUAAAUCCAGCAU